This 206-nucleotide non-coding RNA is filed under the name unclassified sequences. RNAcentral describes it as "RAGATH-7 RNA". The stretch from base 1 to 185 matches the Rfam family "RAGATH-7 RNA". Rfam says of the family: RNA motif Associated with Genes Associated with Twister and Hammerhead ribozymes (RAGATH). The record is from Rfam by way of RNAcentral.
ACUAUACCGCUUUAUUAUGCACAAAUAAAGUUAAAGAUUGUAUAGUAAUCCACGUGGUAGAGGCACAGUUAGGUUCGCUGUGGUGCAACUCUUAGUAGCAACUAAUCUAAAGCAAGUAUGGGAGAAUAGGUUUAAACUAUUUUUAGGUAGUUAAAAAUACGUAAAAUCCGAUCCUAAUAAGGUAGCAUGAUAGUAUUAGUGCAGAU